RNAcentral lists this long non-coding RNA (404 nucleotides) under Volvox carteri. RNAcentral describes it as "long non-coding RNA (VCAR_LNC001962)". The record is from RNAcentral. Lineage: Eukaryota; Viridiplantae; Chlorophyta; Chlorophyceae; Chlamydomonadales; Volvocaceae.
UAUGUUUUAGUAAUUCGCAGCGGCCUUUGUUAAUGAAAGCCGGCGGGACUAUCUGCGCGUUGCGACACUAGGGGGCGCACCCCGCCCCAAGCGCGAUAUCUUACGCAGGUUGCGCAUUAAACUAAGCCAGUAUGCCAUCAUGAUCCCUGUUGAACCUGCUAUUGCGACAGCAUAGUGUGUGACGAAGCGAUAUUGCCGUACUGUACUAAUAAAAUGUAAACACAAAAGGUAAGCGCGUAUGUGCUCCGCAUCUCUCUUCUGCGGCCAGAAAUGGUGCUGGUGUGGCACUCUGUAUGUACAGUGCAAGCUUUUGGAUGAGGGCGCUUUGUACCCCUGGCCAGCUGCAAUCCCUGGGAAAAGCCUCAUUUAAAGCCAUUAUCGACUCUUCAGAGGACUACCAUCAC